RNAcentral lists this ribosomal RNA (484 nucleotides) under uncultured bacterium. Its description in RNAcentral is "partial 16S ribosomal RNA". It matches the Rfam family "Bacterial small subunit ribosomal RNA", at positions 30 to 507 of the family's 1533-position model. The record is from RNAcentral.
CUUGAACGCUGGCGGAAUGCUUUACACAUGCAAGUCGAACGGCAGCACGGGGGCAGCUCUGGUGGCGAGUGGCGAACGGGUGAGUAAUACAUCGGAACGUGCCCGGUCGUGGGGGAUAACGUAGCGAAAGUUACGCUACUACCGCAUACGAUCUGAGGAUGAAAGCGGGGGACCUUCGGGCCUCGCGCGAUCGGAGCGGCCGAUGUCAGAUUAGGUAGUUGGUGGGGUAAAGGCCUACCAAGCCGACGAUCUGUAGCUGGUCUGAGAGGACGACCAGCCACACUGGGACUGAGACACGGCCCAGACUCCUACGGGAGGCAGCAGUGGGGAAUUUUGGACAAUGGGCGCAAGCCUGAUCCAGCCAUUCCGCGUGCAGGACGAAGGCCUUCGGGUUGUAAACUGCUUUUGUACGGAACGAAAAGGCUCUGGCUAAUACCUGGGGCUCAUGACGGUACCGUAAGAAUAAGCACCGGCUAACUACGUG